GCCUGAUGCCAGCCAUGCCGCGUGUGUGAAGAAGGUCUUCGGAUUGUAAAGCACUUUAAGUUGGGAGGAAGGGCAUUAACCUAAUACGUUAGUGUUUUGACGUUACCGACAGAAUAAGCACCGGCUAACUUCGUGCCAGCAGCCGCGGUAAU
Molecule: ribosomal RNA, 152 nt
Filed under: uncultured bacterium
Lineage: Bacteria
Description: partial 16S ribosomal RNA
Rfam family: Bacterial small subunit ribosomal RNA
Source: RNAcentral